AGUGCACUAGCUGUGUGACCUUCUGCAAACUGGGUAACCACACUGCCUCCCCACCCCAUCUCCUCCAAGGUAAAGUGGAGAUUUUACCUGCUGCAAAAAGUUGGGUGAGGACUGAUGAGAGAAUGAGGGUUGAUAAGAGAAGGUGAAGGAAGAGAAGGGAAAAUGUGAAAGACAAUAUUCCAGUCUCCACUGAAUGUGUGGGCACUUCAGUCUCGUGGCAAGUUCAGGCCAAGGGGACAGCUGCUGAAAUGUGGGGGUCCAGGGGCUGCAGAGGGGUUCUGCUGCCUAGCAUUUAAAAGAAGAGGGAAGUAAAUAUUUCUGAGCAACCAUACAGCAUUGAAAGCGAAGCCUUAUCCAUCAUCCACGUCAAAGGGGCUGGAAAGGUCCGAAUCCACCUGAAUGACAACUAAAGUUUCGAGAAUGGGAAUGCAAAAGGGGAUUCAAAGCCACCUGCAUUCCUCGGCCCAUGGCCCCUUCUACCAUCUUUGAAGGCAGCAGCAUAGCACAUCUUCGAAUCUCUCUCUGGCCCUGAAACUCUUGUCUGUGUCUUAUGAGGACCCUUGUGACUACAUUGAGCCCACCCAGAUAAUCCAGGAUAAUCU
Homo sapiens (human) is the source of this 602-nucleotide long non-coding RNA. RefSeq lists it as uncharacterized. The record is from RefSeq and is a predicted model, not a curated record. Lineage: Eukaryota; Metazoa; Chordata; Mammalia; Primates; Hominidae. The transcript has 4 exons.